AUUGAACGCUGGCGGCAGGCCUAACACAUGCAAGUCGAACGGCAGCACAGAAGAGCUUGCUCGUUGGGUGGCGAGUGGCGGACGGGUGAGGAAUGUCUGGGAAACUGCCCGAUGGAGGGGGAUAACUACUGGAAACGGUAGCUAAUACCGCAUAACGUCGCGAGACCAAAGGGGGGGACCUUCGGGCCUCACACCAUAGGAUGUGCCAAGAUGGGAUUAGCUAUGAGGUGGGGUAAUGGCUCACCUAGGCGACGAUCCCUGGCUGGUCUGAGAGAAUGACCAGCAACACUGGAACUGAGACACGGUCCAGACUCCUACGGGAGGCAGCAGUGGGGAAUAUUGCACAAUGGGCGCAAGCCUGAUGCAGCCAUGCCGCGUGUAUGAAGAAGGCCUUCGGGUUGUAAAGUACUUUCAGCGGGGAGGAAGGCGGUGAGGUUAAUAACCUCGCCGAUUGACGUUACCCGCAGAAGAAGCACCGGCUAACUCCGUGCCAGCAGCCGCCGCAG
RNAcentral lists this ribosomal RNA (506 nucleotides) under uncultured bacterium. Its description in RNAcentral is "partial 16S ribosomal RNA". It matches the Rfam family "Bacterial small subunit ribosomal RNA", at positions 29 to 523 of the family's 1533-position model. The record is from RNAcentral.